Molecule: unclassified non-coding RNA, 226 nt
Filed under: uncultured Solirubrobacterales bacterium
Lineage: Bacteria; Bacillati; Actinomycetota; Thermoleophilia; Solirubrobacterales
Description: contains 16S-23S intergenic spacer region
Source: RNAcentral
UCCGGGUUGGACCCGGCGGUCACCAACAUGUCAAGCCCAGGUAAGGUUCUUCGCGUUGCGUCGAAUUAAACCACAUGCUCCGCUGCUUGUGCGGGCCCCCGUCAAUUCCUUUGAGUUUUAGCCUUGCGGCCGUACUCCCCAGGCGGGGCACUUAAUGCGUUAGCGGCGGCACGGGAGGAGUCGACACCUCCCACACCUAGUGCCCAUCGUUUACGGCGUGGACUAC